Molecule: transfer RNA, 73 nt
Filed under: Podarcis lilfordi (Lilford's wall lizard)
Lineage: Eukaryota; Metazoa; Chordata; Lepidosauria; Squamata; Lacertidae
Description: tRNA.Lys
Source: RNAcentral
GGCAGACGCACUCAGUCGGUACAGCACGAGACUCUUAAUCUUAGGGUCGUGGGUUUGAGCCCCACGCUGGCCA